This 253-nucleotide ribosomal RNA is filed under the name uncultured bacterium. Its description in RNAcentral is "partial 16S ribosomal RNA". It matches the Rfam family "Bacterial small subunit ribosomal RNA", at positions 524 to 776 of the family's 1533-position model. The record is from RNAcentral.
UACGAAGGGGGCUAGCGUUGCUCGGAAUCACUGGGCGUAAAGCGCACGUAGGCGGCUUUUUAAGUCAGGGGUGAAAGCCCGGAGCUCAACUCCGGAACUGCCAUUGAAACUGUGAGACUUGAGGAUGAGAGAGGUGAGUGGAAUUCCCAGUGUAGAGGUGAAAUUCGUAGAUAUUGGGAAGAACACCGGUGGCGAAGGCGGCUCACUGGCUCAUAUCUGACGCUCAGGCGCGACAGCGUGGGGAGCAAACAGG